RNAcentral lists this ribosomal RNA (279 nucleotides) under uncultured bacterium. Its description in RNAcentral is "partial 16S ribosomal RNA". It matches the Rfam family "Bacterial small subunit ribosomal RNA", at positions 506 to 784 of the family's 1533-position model. The record is from RNAcentral.
UGCCAGCCGCCGCGGUAAUACGAAGGUGGCUAGCGUUAUUCGGAAUCACUGGGCAUAAAGGGCGUGUAGGCUGUUCGGUAAGUAGAAAGUGAAAUCCCUGGGCUUACCCCAGGAACUGCUUUCUAAACUACCGGGCUAGAGAACUGGAGGGGUACACGGAAUUCUCGGUGGAGCGGUGGAAUGCGUAGAUAUCGAGAAGAACGCCAAAGGCGAAAGCAGUGUGCUGGACAGUUUCUGACGCUGAUGCGCGAAAGCUAGGGUAGCGAAGGGGAUUAGAUA